This 431-nucleotide ribosomal RNA is filed under the name uncultured bacterium. Its description in RNAcentral is "bacterial SSU rRNA". It matches the Rfam family "Bacterial small subunit ribosomal RNA", at positions 29 to 507 of the family's 1533-position model. The record is from RNAcentral.
AGCGAACGCUGGCGGCAGGCCUAACACAUGCAAGUCGAACGGAUCCUUCGGGAUUAGUGGCGGACGGGUGAGUAACACGUGGGAACGUGCCUUUUGGUUCGGAACAACUCAGGGAAACUUGAGCUAAUACCGGAUGUGCCCUUCGGGGAAGGAUUAUCGCCAUUAGAGCGGCCCGCGUCUGAUUAGCUAGUUGGUGGGGUAAAGGCCCACCAAGGCGACGAUCAGUAGCUGGUCUGAGAGGAUGAUCAGCCACACUGGGACUGAGACACGGCCCAGACUCCUACGGGAGGCAGCAGUGGGGAAUCUUGCGCAAUGGGCGAAAGCCUGACGCAGCCAUGCCGCGUGAAUGAUGAAGGUCUUAGGAUUGUAAAAUUCUUUCACCGGGGACGAUAAUGACGGUACCCGGAGAAGAAGCCCCGGCUAACUUCGUG